UCCUAGAGGUGAGCGGCAGAGCACAGCCACGCACCCCCCCCACUCUCUCUGAUGAAGAUCAGAGACAGAGACUAAUCAAAUGCCGUCAUGUCCGACGUAGCUCAGACUGUAGUCCUUGUGCCCCCCAACUGAUUGUGAACUUUUUUUUUUUUGCGAUUUUCUCACCGAACAGAUUACUGUGUGAAUUUAUGGUUUAUAGGCCCCCCGGAACAAUUUAUGGUUUAUAGGCCCCCCCGGAACCUGACGAAAGGACACGUGGGAUUUACAUACAAACUGAAAUCACCUCACUUCACCGUAAGACAUUGUUUAGUUCACCCUAGAAUCCAGUCGCAUCGAAUCUUACUGCACACGCAUAAAGUAUUAAAUAUAGAUUAAAAAAUAACUAAUUGUAUAAUUUGUCUGCAAUUUGCGAGACGAAUCUUUGGAGCUAAAGAUGGCAACGGGUACCCAAAACCCGAUGGGUUUUUACUCUAUUAGGGUAUGGAAACAAUUUUGAGUUAGUAUUAGAAAAGGUAGAGAAAAGGUAGUGUUGUCUACCUGAGUUUUAACAAGGAAAACGAGCCGACAUGUUUUUGUUUUUAGUUAUUACUCACAAUAUGAUGUUUUUAGUCUCAUAUCGCCAAC
This 624-nucleotide long non-coding RNA is filed under the name Sorghum bicolor (sorghum). Its description in RNAcentral is "long non-coding RNA (SBIC_LNC000271)". Lineage: Eukaryota; Viridiplantae; Streptophyta; Magnoliopsida; Poales; Poaceae. The record is from RNAcentral.